GGGGGAAUAUUGGGCAACGGGCGCAAGCCUGACCCAGCAACGCCGCGUGAAGGAAGAAGGCUUUCGGGUUGUAAACUUCUUUUCUCAGGGACGAAGCAAGUGACGGUACCUGAGGAAUAAGCCACGGCUAACUACGUGCCAGCAGCCGCGGUAAUACGUAGGUGGCAAGCGUUAUCCGGAUUUACUGGGUGUAAAGGGCGUGUAGGCGGGACUGCAAGUCAGAUGUGAAAACCAUGGGCUCAACCUGUGGCCUGCAUUUGAAACUGUAGUUCUUGAGUACUGGAGAGGCAGACGGAAUUCCUAGUGUAGCGGUGAAAUGCGUAGAUAUUAGGAGGAACACCAGUGGCGAAGGCGGUCUGCUGGACAGCAACUGACGCUGAGGCGCGAAAGCGUGGGGAGCAAACAGGAUUAGAUACCC
Molecule: ribosomal RNA, 418 nt
Filed under: uncultured bacterium
Lineage: Bacteria
Description: bacterial SSU rRNA
Rfam family: Bacterial small subunit ribosomal RNA
Source: RNAcentral